UACGUAGGGUGCGAGCGUUAAUCGGAAUUACUGGGCGUAAAGCGUGCGCAGGCGGUUAUGUAAGACAGGAUGUGAAAUCCCCGGGCUUAACCUGGGAACUGCAUUUGUGACUGCAUAGCUAGAGUACGGUAGAGGGGGAUGGAAUUCCGCGUGUAGCAGUGAAAUGCGUAGAUAUGACGGAGGAACACCGAUGGCGAAGGCAAUCCCCUGGACCUGUACUCGACG
RNAcentral lists this ribosomal RNA (225 nucleotides) under uncultured bacterium. RNAcentral's name for it is "partial 16S ribosomal RNA". It matches the Rfam family "Bacterial small subunit ribosomal RNA", at positions 524 to 745 of the family's 1533-position model. The record is from RNAcentral.